AUUGAACGCUGGCGGCAUGCUUUACACAUGCAAGUCGAACGGCAGCGCGGGCUUCGGCCUGGCGGCGAGUGGCGAACGGGUGAGUAAUGCAUCGGAACGUGCCCAGUAGUGGGGGAUAGCCCGGCGAAAGCCGGAUUAAUACCGCAUACGACCUGAGGGUGCAAGCGGGGGACCGAAAGGCCUCGCGCUAUUGGAGCGGCCGAUGUCGGAUUAGCUAGUUGGUGGGGUAAAGGCUUACCAAGGCGACGAUCCGUAGCUGGUCUGAGAGGACGACCAGCCACACUGGGACUGAGACACGGCCCAGACUCCUACGGGAGGCAGCAGUGGGGAAUGUUGGACAAUGGGGGCAACCCUGAUCCAGCCAUGCCGCGUGCGGGAAGAAGGCCUUCGGGUUGUAAACCGCUUUUGUUCGGGAAGAAAUCCUCUAGGCUAAUACCCCGGGGGGAUGACGGUACCGGAAGAAUAAGCACCGGCUAACUACGUG
This 484-nucleotide ribosomal RNA is filed under the name uncultured bacterium. RNAcentral describes it as "partial 16S ribosomal RNA". It matches the Rfam family "Bacterial small subunit ribosomal RNA", at positions 28 to 507 of the family's 1533-position model. The record is from RNAcentral.